Molecule: ribosomal RNA, 154 nt
Filed under: uncultured Bacillus sp.
Lineage: Bacteria; Bacillati; Bacillota; Bacilli; Caryophanales; Bacillaceae
Description: partial 16S ribosomal RNA
Source: RNAcentral
GGGGAAUAUUGGACGCGGGCCAAAGCCUGAUCCAACCUUGCCCAGGGAGUGAAGAAAGUCUUCUGAUUGCCAAGGACUUUGCUUUGGGAGGAAGGGGACUAAUUUAAUACCUUGCUGUUUUGAGAUUACCGACAGAAUAAGCACCGGCUAACUC